Leucoraja erinaceus (little skate) is the source of this 1981-nucleotide long non-coding RNA. RefSeq lists it as uncharacterized. NCBI's taxonomy places the organism in Eukaryota, Metazoa, Chordata, Chondrichthyes, Rajiformes, Rajidae. The transcript has 4 exons. The record is from RefSeq and is a predicted model, not a curated record.
AGGAGCUGAUCAUGGACUUUAGGAGGGCACAUCAUCCGAGGACGUACACUCCAUUGAGGAUAAAUGGGGAUCCUGUGGAUAGGGUGAACUGUUUUAAAUAUCUGGGAGUCCACAUCUCCGAGGAUAUGACAUGGGCAUCACACGCCUCAGCACUCGUGAGUAAGGCAAGGCAGCGUCUUUACCACCUCAGGCAAUUGAGGAAAUUCAGAGUGUCUCCGAGGAUCCUCCAGUGCUUCUACGCAGCGGCGGUGGAAAGCAUCUUGUCCGGGAACAUUACCAUCUGGUUUGGGAAUUGCUCUGCCAAGGACAAGAAGGCUCUGCAGAGAGUAGUGCGUUCGGCCGAACGCACUAUGGGAACUUCACUCGCCCCCCUGCAGGAACUAUACAACAGGAGGUGCAACUCCAGAGCAAAUAAAAUCAUGGGAGACCCCUUCCACCCCUGCAACGGACUGUUCCAGCUGCUAUGGUCAGGCAAACGCCUCCGUUGCCAUGCGGUGAGAACGGAGAGGUUGAGAAGGAGUUUCUUCCCAGAGGCAAUUCAGACUGUAAACGCCUAUCUCACCAGGGACUAACUCUACUGAACGUUUUUCCUUCCAUUAUUUAUUAUGUAAAAGAAUAUGUGUGAUAUGAUUGUGUUUAUAAUUUGUUUGGUUGUUUUGUUGUUUGUCUUUUGCACAAAUGUCCGCGAGCAUUGCCACUUUCAUUUCACUGCACAUCUCGUAUAUGUAUAUGUGACAAAUAAACUUGACUUGACUUGACUUGACUUGACUUGACAUAGGUUCAGCUGGCAGCAAUACAUUCUGAAUCCACUUCACCAUCCAGUAUUUCUAUUCUCUUAUCACAUUGACAGCCAGUACAUUUCAAGUUCAAGUAACCCAACCCAGGAUUGAUUGGCGAUGAUUCAUGGCUUUUCCCAAAUGCCACGUUGCAGGUUGAGCCAACUUUGUGGUCAGAUGGUUCUCAGGCACAUAAAAGGCCCAAUUCACACAGCAUACAUCACCUCGAGUCUGACUAUUCACCGCGAACAUGUCGUGCCUUUGUCUCCUCCUGGUCAUUCUCAUUGCAGCCACCGCCCUCGAUUCUUAUCCAAUUGUGUACGGAGGUAACCCUGGCGAAUAUGGUCAUUACCACGGACCGCCGCCACCUCCGCAUUGAGGGUCAAGGAUGUCCCGCUGGGCCAUUUUCGUGCGGCCGCCGGAUAGUCUUCAGAACGCACGCAAUAUAACAAACCCUUAGCCGGACCAAGUGUAUUUGCAAACUCCAUUUUAAGUUCUCUUUUAUAGUCUCCUUUCGGGAUGGAGAGGUUACUAUUAAAUUGUCCAUUAAAUUCUUCAGCAUGUUAAAAUGUUGUCAUGUCUGAAUACUUUAUUUUUCCACUCUUUCUUGGUCAAUUAUGCAGUGUGUAACGCAUGGACUCGUUCCACGGCAUGAAGUCACAGAGCUUUGAAAUCUUCACGUAGUCACUCACGUGACUCCGAAGUAAAAUAGUAAGAUUAAACGAGAACUUAUCAGUUUGCGACAGCGAUUCUCAGCUGAUAGAGUUUUGACAAACAGCAAAUUUCUCUCUCCAUCCCAUUUUGUAUUAAGAAAUACAGCAUUGAAACGGACCCUUCGGCCCACCGAGCUCAUGCUGACCAUCGAUCACCUGGUGUGCAUUAUUGUUCUGCAUUAUGCCGCUUUCGCAUCCACUCCCUACACACUUGGGGCAAAUUACAGAGGCCAAUGAACCUACAAACCUGCACGCCUUUAGGGUGUGGGAGGAAACCUGAGCACCCGGACACUACACCUCAAAUAUCCUAUAGCAAGCAAGAUAGACCACUCCUUCUAAAUGCAAUGGGCUGAUGUGUAGUACGCAACGGAGCGGAACGUGGGCCUUUUUUUCCAUCUAUUUCAGUAACCCGACCCGACCCGAUCUAACCCGAUUCGCAGUGUAAUCAGCAUUGCGGGGGAACAGUUUGUGUUAAUAAAUUAUAAUUCUGAA